GCGCGAAAACUCUGCAAUGCACGAAAGUGUGACAGGGGGAUACAUAGUGCUUAUGCUUAUGGUGUAGGCUUUUGUCGAGUGUAGAUAGCUCGGCGAAUAAGUGGUGGGUAAGACUGGUGCCAGCCGCCGCGGUAACACCAGCGCCACAAGUGGUCAUCGCGAUUAUUGGGCCUAAAGCGUUCGUAGCCGGUUUGGUAAAUCUCUUGUGAAAUUGUUCGGCUUAACCGAACAGCGUGCAGGGGAGACUGCCAGACUCGAGACCGGGAGGGGUUAGAGGUAUUCUGUAGGGACCGGUAAAAUGGGAUAAUCUACAGAGGACCACCGAUGGCGAAGGCAUCUAACCAGAACGGAUCUGACGGUGAGGAACGAAAGCUAGGGGAGCGAACCGG
RNAcentral lists this ribosomal RNA (389 nucleotides) under uncultured euryarchaeote. Its description in RNAcentral is "bacterial SSU rRNA". It matches the Rfam family "Archaeal small subunit ribosomal RNA", at positions 339 to 727 of the family's 1478-position model. The record is from RNAcentral. Lineage: Archaea; Methanobacteriati; Methanobacteriota.